GAUGUGUAGCUGAAGGAGGUGGAAGCAUUUGUGACAGAAUUGUAUAAGAAAAGAAUAAUCACAAUGCCUUUCCAGUUUAGCACAUUCAAGUGGG
Molecule: microRNA precursor, 94 nt
Filed under: Medicago truncatula (barrel medic)
Lineage: Eukaryota; Viridiplantae; Streptophyta; Magnoliopsida; Fabales; Fabaceae
Description: miR5254 stem-loop (mtr-MIR5254)
Source: miRBase by way of RNAcentral